RNAcentral lists this ribosomal RNA (478 nucleotides) under uncultured bacterium. Its description in RNAcentral is "bacterial SSU rRNA". It matches the Rfam family "Bacterial small subunit ribosomal RNA", at positions 30 to 501 of the family's 1533-position model. The record is from RNAcentral.
AUUGAACGCUGGCGGCAUGCCUUACACAUGCAAGUCGAACGGCAGCACGGGAGCAAUCCUGGUGGCGAGUGGCGAACGGGUGAGUAAUGUAUCGGAACGUGCCCAGUCGUGGGGGAUAACGCAGCGAAAGCUGUGCUAAUACCGCAUACGAUCUAUGGAUGAAAGCGGGGGAUCGCAAGACCUCGCGCGAUUGGAGCGGCCGAUAUCAGAUUAGCUAGUUGGUGGGGUAAAGGCUCACCAAGGCGACGAUCUGUAGCUGGUCUGAGAGGACGACCAGCCACACUGGAACUGAGACACGGUCCAGACUCCUACGGGAGGCAGCAGUGGGGAAUUUUGGACAAUGGGCGCAAGCCUGAUCCAGCAAUGCCGCGUGCAGGAUGAAGGCCUUCGGGUUGUAAACUGCUUUUGUUACGGAGCGAAAAGGCUUCCUCUAAUACAGGGGGCUCAUGACGGUACCGUAAGAAUAAGCACGGCUAAC